CACGUUUUAUCCUUCUGUGUUGCAGAAAUGGUUAAUAUAUGUUCUGUGUGUGUAUGCAUGAAAGCAAACAAAAGAAAAAGAAAGAGGGUGAAAUCACUGGGUACAGUCCUACUUUUUCAGUGUGUCUGCAGAAGCUGCCAGAAGCUUCUGUUCCUUUUCCAACAGUAAGCACAGCAUUAAAUUCCUUAAAAGGCAGUUAAUACAGGAAUAACAACAGUGCACUUAUCUAGUAUUUCCAUCCACAGAUGUCACGACGUCACUUGCAAAAACAUAGGAGAAAGAAAAAGAUUUUCCUCUUUUUUUUUGUGUGAGCACCACUGAUAAAUAGUUGUCAUAUUGCAGAGAUAAGGUGAGGUGACUUUCCUAGUCAUGCAGGAUAUGCAUGUUAGAACAGGUAGAAUCGUUCCUCGACUCCCGUUUUUUAAUGUUAAUAAGAAUGCCCAUUCCUUAAAGAACGCAGCAGUCAGCACAGUUAGUUUUCUGCUCCCUCUUCAUUGUAUUCGUUUUUCUAUCCCUAUUCCCAGAUAAAACUGCCUGUCAGCUUUCCGAGACAGUUUAGGUUGAAACAGAGGCAAAUAUGUCUCUAACAGAAAAAAAGGCUUUCUCUUUGUUCUCAUAACUUAACCACCACAUUACAAGAAAUUGCACUGACAAAGGGCCCCCUUCACAAAGGAAGAUGAGAAUAAACAAAGGCCCAUAAGCAGCCAGAAGGGUUUGUAGAUGCUAUCUCCUGAAGUGCGUGGGCAAGGACAAGUGAAGAGUAAGCCUUUCUUUACGAAGCACCAGUGUCUGCAUGCUCUGUUUUCUCAAUUAGCUGCACUUGGAAACUGUUCCCACAGAUAGACCACAAUGCUCUGAAAUGGUCUGAGGUGCCUGGCUCUGCACCUUGGUGUUUCCAUGGAAGAGCACAGCCUGAAUGUGCAUUCUAUCAGGUGUUUCUUCUUUUAGAAAAAUGCUAGCAAUGCAGUGAAGAAGAAAGAUGCAAAUUAUAUACAAGGGGAAAAAAAAAAAGUAGGGGAAUUAAAUACCAGUGGAAGGGGAAGAAAGCUCAUUGCUACUCAAGUAAUCAUGGCAUUUAUUAUCCUGAGGGUCAAUGCAAAGACUCAGUCCUCCUUAUAAAUGGAUGUGGAAUGAGUAUUAGGUCAGGAAAUAUCUGACUGCUUUGGUGUUCUCAAUGCCUGCCUGGAAGGUGGUUUCUAACUCAAUUGCAUGCUGCAUCUCCUCCAAAAGUAGCUCUGUCCCACAGAUGGCAUGUACCAACCACAGAUGGCUUGCAGCGAGGCAUUUCUCCCUAAGGAUAUACAAGGAAGACCUAGGUUCUUACGACACAUGCUGAAUUGUAUAAAUCUUCUCAGUACACUGAUGCUGCCUUCUUAGAUUCACAAUACCGUGGAAUCAUUGAGGUUGGAAAGGACCUCUAAGACCAUCCAGUCCAACCGCCCGCCUACCACCAGCACUGCCCACUAAACCACAUCCCUGAGUGCCAUGUCUCUGUGGUUCUUGAACACCUCCUAGGAAAUGACUCCCUGAGCAGCCUGUGCCAAUGCUUACAAGUCUUAAAAUCUUAGAAAUAUACUUUUUAAAAAUUUUUAAUUUUUUUUAUUUUUUCCUGGGCUGGUAAAAAGCCUCUGUCAGGAACAGGAUUAAUGUGCCUCAGGAAGCAGUCUUAUCCCCGAGCUCCCUGCUAUACAAGAGAGCACACAGCAGGCUAAUUUCUCUAGACAAAGAAGCCAACUUAGUAGGCCACUGCUGCAAUGGUUUCUAAUCCUCUUCUUAAAGCUUGUCCUGUAUGGUGACUUUUGCUGCCAGAAAGAGGAAGAAAAAGGAAAACAGAGCAGCCAGCCUGUUCAGAAUUCACAAACCACCCCUAUGCUGUAUAAUAGCAAAUAGGGGUGUGAGGAGGAUGCUUCGUUCCCUUCUCUACAUACUCUACAUACAUACUUUAUAAGGGAUGAUUUCACUGCUCUGAGUUGCAAGCCUGGAUCAUCUGCUUGUAGAAGUGCAUUUUAUCAAAAUGAUGUAGGUUCCCAG
RNAcentral lists this long non-coding RNA (2031 nucleotides) under Gallus gallus (chicken). The record is from RNAcentral. Lineage: Eukaryota; Metazoa; Chordata; Aves; Galliformes; Phasianidae.